GAGAUGAAGCUCGUCGCAUGCUUAACACAUGCAAGUCGAACGGCAGCACAGCAGAGCUUGCUCUGUGGGUGGCGAGUGGCGGACGGGUGAGUAAUGCAUCGGGACCUACCCAGACGUGGGGGAUAACGUAGGGAAACUUACGCUAAUACCGCAUACGUCCUACGGGAGAAAGCGGGGGACCUUCGGGCCUCGCGCGGUUGGACGGACCGAUGUUCGAUUAGCUUGUUGGUGAGGUAACGGCUCACCAAGGCGACGAUCGAUAGCUGGUCUGAGAGGAUGAUCAGCCACACUGGGACUGAGACACGGCCCAGACUCCUACGGGAGGCAGCAGUGGGGAAUAUUGGACAAUGGGCGCAAGCCUGAUCCAGCAAUGCCGCGUGUGUGAAGAAGGCCUUCGGGUUGUAAAGCACUUUUAUCAGGAGCGAAACGCUGUCGGCUAAUAUCCGGCGGAACUGACGGUACCUGAGGAAUAAGCACCGGCUAACUUCGUGCCAGCAGCCGCGGUAAUACGAAGGGUGCAAGCGUUAAUCGGAAUUACUGGGCGUAAAGCGUGCGUAAGCGGUCUGUUUAGUCUGCUGUGAAAU
RNAcentral lists this ribosomal RNA (584 nucleotides) under Lysobacteraceae bacterium E26. Its description in RNAcentral is "bacterial SSU rRNA". It matches the Rfam family "Bacterial small subunit ribosomal RNA", at positions 25 to 600 of the family's 1533-position model. The record is from RNAcentral. Lineage: Bacteria; Pseudomonadati; Pseudomonadota; Gammaproteobacteria; Lysobacterales; Lysobacteraceae.